Molecule: ribosomal RNA, 253 nt
Filed under: uncultured bacterium
Lineage: Bacteria
Description: partial 16S ribosomal RNA
Rfam family: Bacterial small subunit ribosomal RNA
Source: RNAcentral
UACGUAGGGUGCGAGCGUUGUCCGGAAUUAUUGGGCGUAAAGAGCUCGUAGGCGGCUUGUCGCGUCGGAUGUGAAAGCCCGGGGCUUAACUCCGGGUCUGCAUUCGAUACGGGCAGGCUAGAGUUCGGUAGGGGAGAUCGGAAUUCCUGGUGUAGCGGUGAAAUGCGCAGAUAUCAGGAGGAACACCGGUGGCGAAGGCGGGUCUCUGGGCCGAUACUGACGCUGCGGAGCGAAAGCGUGGGGAGCGAACAGG